UAUUUGAUCGAGAGCAACUAAGGAGUUGCUGAGGGCCUGGCCUGAAGGGCCUCUAGGCUCCCCACCCAAUCAGGAAUGGGGAGGAUCCUAGUCCAUGGAGGGUGGAUUCCUUGGACAGAUUUAUGGAGAAAUUCAUGGGAAAGUCACCAGGAAGGCAAUUUCUGAGAGGAUGAUGACACUUGCCAAAGGCUUCCUGAGAAGCUGACUCCACCCCAGCUCCUGGGGAGUGGCUUAAUGGCUAAAGAUAAUCCUAGUCCCUUUGCCAGUGAUUGACUCAGGAACUCACAUCUCAGCCCAUCAACAGGAAGCUGGACACACUGCCCCCACUGCUGUUGGUGGCCAUCUUUACAACCACAAGAGGAAUCAACCUAAAGAUCAAAGUUACACCCAGAUAAGGCAGAUCCAGGACCACCAAGGGAACCUAGAGCCUAGAGCCCACUCUGGAUUUCCAGUCAUGUGCAAUAAAACAGUGCCUUUUAUUUAAA
This is a long non-coding RNA of Herpailurus yagouaroundi (jaguarundi), 485 nucleotides long. RefSeq lists it as uncharacterized. Lineage: Eukaryota; Metazoa; Chordata; Mammalia; Carnivora; Felidae. The record is from RefSeq and is a predicted model, not a curated record. The transcript has 2 exons.